Molecule: ribosomal RNA, 468 nt
Filed under: uncultured bacterium
Lineage: Bacteria
Description: partial 16S ribosomal RNA
Rfam family: Bacterial small subunit ribosomal RNA
Source: RNAcentral
GACGAACGCUGGCGGCGGGCUUAACACAUGCAAGUCGAACGGAAAGGCCCUGCUUGCGUGGGGUGCUCGAGGGGCGAACGGGUGAGGAACACGUGAGUAACCUGCCCUACACUUUGGGAUAACUUCAGGAAACUGGGGCUAAUAUCGGAUAGGAGCUCCUGCUGCAUGGAGGGGGUUGGAAAGUUUGGGCGGGUGGGGAUGGACUCGCGGCUUAUCUGCUUGUUGGUGGGGUAGUGGCUUACCAAGGCUUUGACGGGUAGCCGGCAUGGGAGGGUGACCGGCCACAUUGGGACUGCGGUACGGCCCAGACUCCUACGGUAGGCAGCAGUGGGGAAUAUUGCACAAUGGGCGGGAGCCUGAUGCAGCAACGCCGCGUGCGGGAUGCCGGCCUUCGGGUUGUAAACCGCUUUCGCCUGUGACGAAGCGUGAGUGACGGUACUGGGUAAAGAAGCACCGGCUAACUACGUG